Molecule: long non-coding RNA, 484 nt
Organism: Anolis carolinensis (green anole)
Lineage: Eukaryota; Metazoa; Chordata; Lepidosauria; Squamata; Anolidae
Exons: 3
Source: RefSeq, a predicted model, not a curated record
AGAUGACCCAAUCAUGACGUGAGAAGCAAGGUACAGGAGUCACUAAUGAAGCCGUUCAUACAUAUGAGGAACUGUGCAAAUGAAAGAGAUAAUCCCAGAGAUCAAACUCUACAUCUUCUUAUGGCUGGUAACCACUGCCUGCACCAUCAAGCUAAUUAAGACGGAAACUUGAAAGUGCUCAUUGUGGUGCAUCUUCCAUACAAGGUAAUUCCUUUAUAAAUGCUGUUGAAAUUGCUGUGUUUCAUGGGAGAGAAUAAUGAAGACUACCUGUCAAAUCACACCAUUAUUUGGCUAGACAAUGCAAGCCUUCUCCCAGCCACCUCUCAGCCCUCUGCUUGCACCUCUCUCCAAACCGAAUACCAACACAGAGGGGAAGAAUGAGUGCAGAACCCAUGCUGACCUUUCCUGCCGGCCAGCGCUGACCUUUCCAACCUCAUUAGAGUGCUAGGUAUGGAAGCCUAAAUAAAGAGUUGUUGAUACACUU